Molecule: long non-coding RNA, 2663 nt
Filed under: Sus scrofa (pig)
Lineage: Eukaryota; Metazoa; Chordata; Mammalia; Artiodactyla; Suidae
Description: lncRNA (ENSSSCG00015031036.1)
Source: RNAcentral
UUUUUUAUUUUUUUAAUUUCCUCAAUACCUUUUUUUUUCUGCUGUGCAGCCUGGUGACCCAGUUACACAUACAUGUAUACAUUCUAUUUUCUCCCAUUAUCAUGCUCCAUUAUAAGUGACUAGACAUAGUUCCCAGUGCCACACAGCAGGAUCUCAUUGCUAAUCCAUUCCAGAGGCAAUAGUCUGCAUCUAUUAUCCCAAGCUCCUGGAUUAGGAAGAUGUAGUAUAUAUACACAAUGGAAUACUACUCAGCCAUAAAAAAGAACAAAAUAAUGCCAUUUGCAGCAACAUGGAUGGAACUAGAGACUCUCAUACUGAUGUUCCACAAGGCUCUGUCAAAGUCUUGGUGUUUGUACCCCUAGGUGUAUGUGCCUUGUAGGUAUGCAUAUGUACCAUGUGUGUGUGGCACAUGUGUGUUUGUAUACUAUGUGGGUGUUGUAUGUCCAUAGGUACCAUGCAUACAUUGUACACGUGUGUCUGUACCAUGUACAUGUGUAUUAUACUUGCACAUGUAAAUUUAGCCAAGGAAGGGAAGGAACUGGCAGUGGUAAAUGUAAGACUUUGAAACUCAGGAAGGCAAAAUAAAUGGGAAGAUAAAGUGUGUUCAUGGAUCAGGAGAAUUAAUAUUGUGCAUAUGUGUGCACAUUUGUAUGUAUGCACAGAUACCAUAACCACUCUGCACAUAUGUGGCCUGUAUAUUAUAUAUGUGUUUAUGCAUGUACAUUGUAUGUAUAACAUAUACUACAUGCACACAUGUGUAUGUGUACAUUGUGUGCAUUUACACUGUAUAUAUGCUAUAAAAAUACACUAUAUGUGUAUAUGUGUGCAUUACAUAUAUUUCAUACAUGCACUAUAUGUAUAUAUAUACAUACAUUCUAUGCAUGUAUGAUGUGCAUAUACUCUGUAUGUACAUAGUGUAUACAUUAUGGUUAAUGUUAGUGCAUAUGUUCAUUGUGUGUAUGCAUGUAUACAUGCCAUAGAUGCUGUGUAUCCAUGCUGCAUUAUAUAUGUAUGAACACUGUGUGUAAACUACGUGUGUAUCCACUGUAAGGAUAUAUAUGGCUGUUUCUCUGUAUGUGUGGACACACUAUGCAUGUGCUGUAUAUGUGCAUACACUCUGUAUAUGUCUGCAUAAUAUGUAUAUAUGAACACUAAACUAUAUGUGUAUCCACCGUAAGGAUAUAUAUGGCUAUAUUAUGUGUGCGCAUGUAACUAUCUUUGUAUGUGUGGACACUCUGUGCAUGUGCUGUAUAUGUGCGUACACUCUCUAUAUGUCUGCACAGUAUGUAGUGUCAGGAAUACAGCUCCAGCAGGGCUCCAGCGCAUGACCAUUUGGCUGGCUUGGGGAGAGUAAUGUGUGAAACACUCGUUCCGGAUCGCAUAGUAUACGAAAUUUGGCAAGUUAAUGGGCCUUUGCAAUGAUGUAGGGACCAAACACUUCACUGAUGGAUGUGUGUGUGUUCACUUAAUCAUCAUAACAGCCCUGUGAAGUAGGUUUUAUCUCCAGAUGAGGACUGAGAUUUACUGGUGACUUGUGUAAGGAAAGGAAACUUAAAAGUAAUGGUAGCAUCAUGUCAACUAUCUUUUCUUCAUUUACUUUCUUAUCACAACCUUUGUUAGCAUUUAACUAACAACCUGGAAGUUGCCACUCAUCAGGAAAUAGGAUCAUCUUCCAACUGUUUAUAUUUAUUCAAAGAGUAGUGACUGCUGUUUUCCUGUCACUGUGUAGCAAAAUGCCAUUAAUGUUGCCAGUGUGAGCAGUUCAAAAUAAACACAGUAUCACUCUUAAAAUUGAAAAUGAACAUAAGUUCAUUUUUUAGGUAUUGUUUGGAAGGAUAAGAAAAAAGACAUUUAAGAUGAAAGGAGGGUUUCUUUGCCAUUUCUUUGGGAAUUUCCUUUUGGUGGAUUAUUGCUAGAAUAUUCUUUUUUUUUUUUUCUUCCCCUCAGGGUUCUGCUUUUGGUGAAACGAAAGUAGUUAAAGUCUUUGGGUUUUGUCUCAGCCAAGUUCAGCUUACUAAUUACUACAGUAAAUCACAUAAAAUUACAUACUAGUUAAUAUAAGUACCUGGAAGGCAGGAGUUGGUUUUAUACUUUUUGUAGCUACAGCACUAAUGGCUGCAAACUGUUCCUCUGGCCAUUCCUAGACAAACCUUCACAGGGUUAUGUGCCAAGCAUGGUAUUAGUUCCAGAGGAUACAAAAAUGAAUUCAAGCUUUAAUUUGUGAAGCUCUCACCACACUUGGAGAGCACGUUGACAACUGGUGUGACAAAGUGUAAAAAACAGGUGUUCAGACUGUUUUGGGCAUGUAGAAAAUGGAAUUGACUUGAUGUGAUAAAAUUUUCGAAUUUACUUUUGUGUUUAUUCUACUGAUAAUCCUGAUGCUUUCUUUUUAACCUUAAAGAUUGUUGUUAAUCACUGAUGAAUUGGUAAGCAACUCUGUGUGUGUUCUAAAUCUAGUGAUGCGUUCAUUAACUGGAGACCAUUCACCUCGAUGGGGACAGUAAUAUGUCAAAAGACGGCCCAGUUCCACGCCAUCGAAGGGUCGUUAAAUACCACCGGGUGCAUCCUUGCUGGGAUUUGCUCAGGUGGGAAAUGGCAGCAUUUCGUCUUUUGCUGAUAGGUGCACUCAGGGUGCGGGAGUGAGCAGUUCAAAUUUAGAUGUU